UACGUAGGGUGCGAGCGUUAAUCGGAAUUACUGGGCGUAAAGCGUGCGCAGGCGGUCUUGUAAGCCAGAUGUGAAAUCCCCGGGCUUAACCUGGGAAUGGCAUUUGGGACUGCAAGGCUUGAGUGCGGCAGAGGAGACUGGAAUUCCUGGUGUAGCAGUGAAAUGCGUAGAUAUCAGGAGGAAUACCGAUGGCGAAGGCAGGUCUCUGGGCUGACACUGACGCUCAUGCACGAAAGCGUGGGGAGCAAACAGG
This 253-nucleotide ribosomal RNA is filed under the name uncultured bacterium. RNAcentral describes it as "partial 16S ribosomal RNA". It matches the Rfam family "Bacterial small subunit ribosomal RNA", at positions 524 to 776 of the family's 1533-position model. The record is from RNAcentral.